AUAUGGUUAAGCUAUUAAGAGCACACGGAGGAUGCCUAGGCGCUAGGAGCCGAUGAAGGACGUGGCGAACAACGAUACUGCCUCGGGGAGCUGUACGCAAGCUUUGAUCCGGGGAUGUCCGAAUGGGGAAACCCAGCUAUCGUAAUGGAUAGUUAUCUCCACCUGAAUACAUAGGGUGGUUGAAGGCAGACCAGGGGAACUGAAACAUCUAAGUACCCUGAGGAAGAGAAAACAAUAGUGAUUCCGUCAGUAGCGGCGAGCGAACGCGGAUUAGCCCAAACCAAUCAGCUUGCUGGUUGGGGUUGUGGGACGUCUCACAUGGAGUUACAAAGGAACCGAUUAGUUGAAGAGGUCUGGAAAGGCCCGCCAGAGAAGGUAAAAGCCCUGUAGUCAAAAGUCUGUUC
This 404-nucleotide ribosomal RNA is filed under the name Paenibacillus gallinarum. Its description in RNAcentral is "Paenibacillus sp. Sa2BVA9 partial 23S ribosomal RNA". It matches the Rfam family "Bacterial large subunit ribosomal RNA", at positions 1 to 392 of the family's 2925-position model. The record is from RNAcentral. Lineage: Bacteria; Bacillati; Bacillota; Bacilli; Caryophanales; Paenibacillaceae.